AUAAACUUGUGCAGAUUGACGAACCAUCACUGGACGUAGCAGAUCUUAUCAAGCUUGUUUGCAAAAUUUUCUGGUCAUCCAUCUACUUGGAGAUUCCAAAGCAAUUACUUGAUCCAAAUGUGUUCAAUGCUUGGAUGAUGCUUUUCUUAAAUGUUCUGGAGAGGCCCGUACCUAUGGAAGGGCAACCUGUAGAUCCUGAUCUCAGGAAAUCAUGGGGGUGGUGGAAGGUGAAAAAAAUGGACGAUUCAUAUUUUAAAUAUGCUAUACUCUCGGUUUGGAGAUUUAAAACUUAGGAAUCCAGAAAACAGAGCUUUCGCCCAAAUGUUUCAGAAGAAUUAUGCAGGAAAAAUUUGGAAUGCCACUUAAACUUUUUGGAUGUUAUUCGUGUUGGAGGCU
Long non-coding RNA from Hibiscus syriacus, 396 nucleotides. RefSeq lists it as uncharacterized. NCBI's taxonomy places the organism in Eukaryota, Viridiplantae, Streptophyta, Magnoliopsida, Malvales, Malvaceae. The record is from RefSeq and is a predicted model, not a curated record. The transcript is spliced from 3 exons.